Long non-coding RNA from Cottoperca gobio, 2421 nucleotides. Ensembl annotates it as sterile alpha motif domain-containing protein 12-like. NCBI's taxonomy places the organism in Eukaryota, Metazoa, Chordata, Actinopteri, Perciformes, Bovichtidae. The record is from Ensembl.
AGGAACAUAAACUGUCCUUUUGCAUGUUAAUAUCGUUAUGUGCCAUACAGAUUCUGACAGCACUGAAGGCAUCACGAGCAGCCUGUGCAGCGCGUGGGAGUGUGGAAGAAGGAUGUGUUGCGCAUGCGCCCGCUUGGUGGGCGGAUACGGGAAAAGGAAUGUACCUCAUGAAAAUAAUUCCAACAGGUAGAGACAAGGGUCGCCAUUAAUGAUAUCAUCCUGACCGGAGGGUGUUGCUGCUGAUGUGGCUGCAGAGUGAUGGACCUGUCGAAGCGAGUGUCGUUGUGGUCGGUUGAAGAAGUGUUGGAGUGGCUGCAGGAUCAGCACCCGACCCUCAUGGGCACGCUCCAGAAGGCCAUAAUUAAACACGCCAUAUCAGGCCGUGUGUUGCUGAGAUUAAAGGACCAUCACCUGGAGCUCCUCGGGGUGGAGUCUGAGGAGCUGCAGCAGGACAUCUUGCAGGACCUCCUCCUCCUCAGAGUGCAAGAAGAAAUCACUGAACUCAACAACCUCUGCUCCGAGUGUUUUUCUUCAUAGCGGCAAAUAAAUAUCAUCCAGAGAAAUGCGGCAUAUUUUUUUUAUUUUCCAUUCAUCCAUUCAUGUGAAGGAGGGAGAAAAGUGGGAGUGAUGGAAACAACAAGAGAAGGUGAAAGAGAAAGAAGAAUCGAUGGCGAAUGAAGAGAGAAAGAAACCCAUUUCCUGCGUGUAAUCUGACCUGUGCAGAUGGAUGAGAUUAGUUUUUACGAGCGUCUUUCUCUUGAGGCCGACUGUCUAUUAGUCUCUGUCUUUCUCUCCGGCGGGUUUACAUCCCAUCAGUGGGUCAGGAAAUACUUUUAGCUAAAACCACUUUGAUCAAGACUGACACAUCUCAACAGCUACUGAAUGAAUCGUAAUGAACCUUUGCACGGACGAUCAUCAUCAUCAUCAUCAUCAUCCCUCGUGGAUGAAUUGUAAUCUGUUAUUGUUUCCUACAGCAUCAUCAUCAAGUCAAAAGUUUCCAACACUUUGGUUGAUGCUAAAUGAAAGUUUAGGUGGUUAUGUUCUAGUGGGACAUAAGGGAUUAUUUUUACGAGUCUAUACAUUGUUUUGUUACGGGGGAAAAAGCUGCAUAUUAUACCUUUAAUGUGAUUAAUCCUGUAUUAACUGGUCCAAACUAUUCAUUUUAUUAUUAUGCCCUAUUUUAUGUAUUGGCAUCAAUAUCACUCCACAUGUGUGUUGCAUACAGUAAAAGGUCAUGUCUAUUUCAGAUGUUCUUUUCAUGGAAAUGCCACAGUAUGGUGAAUUAAAAGUGCAGCUCUGGCAGCUGUGUGUGUGUGUGUGUGUGUGUGUGUGUGUGUGUGUGUGUGUGUGUGUGUGUGUGUGUGUGUGUGUGUGUGUGUGUGUGUGUGUGUGUGUGUGUGUGUGUGUGUGUGUGUGUGUGUCCUCUUUCUGCCUCACUUCCAGUGUUCACCUGCAACACUGUCCACUGUGAAAGAUCUGGGACGCUCAACACUAAAGGUCGUAGUAAUUAUAAAAUAAACAUAUUAAUGCAUUCAUUUUGUGGAAUCAACAUGUCACAGACUCUUAACACAGAAGGUUUUCACACUUUUAACAGCUUUAGUUUCAAGAUAUUACAGAGACGUACACUUCAUACUCUUAUCAAGUAACCGCUUUGUCUUUUUCCUCUAAACUCCUGUUAAAUACUUUUUUAGCAUCAUAUACUUUAUAUUGUCCGCUUGUUCCAGCUUGUAAUUGAUGCUGUAUGAUGUUCACACUGAGGGAAAUACUCAAACCCCAGACUCUCUUUAAAAACAUGUUUUAUACACAUUUAGUCAAAUUCAAUGUUUGGUUCUCCACUCGAAUUGAGCAAUGGAGGAGUAACACAUGUUUCCUGAUAUAAUUACAAACAUGCACUCAGACUCUCACAGGGAAGAGGGACUUCUGCUGUUCAGGGCAAGAAACAACAUGUUUAUGAACUAAACCUGGUGUGUGAGUGAAGCUUCCUAUCAAGUGACCUUUCCUCUGUUUCUGUGUGUGUGUGUGUGUGUGUGUGUGUGUGUGUGUCUGAGUGUGAUUAAUACCCCAGGAGAUGGUGUGACAUUUGAUUUGUCGGGGCGUGGCUGGGGAAGCGCUGACUCAGCACAAACGUAAAUCCACCUCACUGAUAAAGUGAAGUGUGUGUGGUGGUGUGGGGGGGGGUGAUGAAAUACACCACUGACCCUGACGACAGCCGGAAGGAAAAUUCUGACGUUAAAUACACAAAUGCAAAUUCAGCUUAUUUCAAGGUGUGUCCUCGUUUAGUGGGUGGUAUCGUGCACAAAGGGAAAUGACCUGAAGAAAACCGAUUAGUAAUGAAAACACUAAAACUGAGUUAAAGACACCGUGUGGCAGAAACUAGAAGGACACCCAGACAAAGUAUGUGGACACCUAAAUAUACAUAUA